AGAUUGAACGCUAGCGGGAUGCUUUACACAUGCAAGUCGAACGGCAGCGCGGACUUCGGUCUGGCGGCGAGUGGCGAACGGGUGAGUAAUAUAUCGGAACGUGCCCAGUAGCGGGGGAUAACUACGCGAAAGCGUGGCUAAUACCGCAUACGCCCUACGGGGGAAAGGGGGGAUUCUUCGGAACCUCUCACUAUUGGAGCGGCCGAUAUCAGAUUAGCUAGUUGGUGAGGUAAAGGCUCACCAAGGCCGCGAUCUGUAGCUGGUUUGAGAGGACGACCAGCCACACUGGGACUGAGACACGGCCCAGACUCCUACGGGAGGCAGCAGUGGGGAAUAUUGGACAAUGGGCGAAAGCCUGAUCCAGCCAUGCCGCGUGUGUGAAGAAGGUCUUCGGAUUGUAAAGCACUUUAAGUUGGAGAAGGCAUUAACCUAAUACGUUAGUGUUUUGACGUUACCGACAGAAUAAGCACCGGCUAACUCUGUGCCAGCAGCCACGGU
RNAcentral lists this ribosomal RNA (498 nucleotides) under uncultured soil bacterium. RNAcentral's name for it is "bacterial SSU rRNA". It matches the Rfam family "Bacterial small subunit ribosomal RNA", at positions 26 to 521 of the family's 1533-position model. The record is from RNAcentral.